Molecule: long non-coding RNA, 27196 nt
Filed under: Theobroma cacao (cacao)
Lineage: Eukaryota; Viridiplantae; Streptophyta; Magnoliopsida; Malvales; Malvaceae
Description: long non-coding RNA (TCAC_LNC004253)
Source: RNAcentral
CUUUUAGGUUUCUGCUCUGUACAUGAUGACUUCUUCACUUUAUCAGUUUCCGUGUACUCAUAUUUCAAACCUUGAAGUUGAAUUCGCCCACUGCUGCUACGGUCAGUAUUUCGGAACACGAUCCUAUCAAAGAAACCAGAUUCAUUCCUAGGUUUCUCACUCCAAAUUUCACCGACAACAGUACUUGUGUUUCUGAUAGACAAGAUUGCCGAAAAUCUCAAGCUCAACCUUGUUGUGCAGUCUCCAACACGAGACUUCUCCAAGGAGCUUGAUGCAUCAAAGAUUCGGCAAGCAGCAAUACAGAGCCGAUUCUUCCUUGCAUCCCAAGAUCCUUCUCCAACUAAUGAAGUGCUGAAAUUGGAAGAGCGAUAAUACCCCAUACAGUAAUCGAUAGGAAAUUCUAUCAGAAACCUCAAGCUUAGCUUAUCCUCCGAGCACUGAAUCAUACUCAAAGACAUGACCUGUGGCAAAUAUCCAAUACCAUCACCAAAUGGAUUGCAACUCUUUGAAGAAUCACAACCACUUCCAUACUCCAGUUCAAAAGCAUUGGCUUGACCUAGAAACAUAUUACAAAUAGUUCGAGUCCGUGAUAAGCUGAGGGAUGACUUCUCUGGCACAUCAGUCCCCCCAGGACACCCUUGAGUUGAUAGUUUUGAAACUUUGGUGUACUGGUAACUUUUUUGAGGGAACAUCAGCAAGGAAAUUUGACCAAAGUAAUUUGGUUCAUCAGCAGCGUACAAGCUAUCCAUGGUUCCAGUGACUAAAGUGUUGAUAGUGCUUGACUUCUUAAGAUUGUUCAACUUGAGAACAGCUGCAAGAUGAAGCAGUUUACCUUCUUUGGAGUAAGUAUAGCUUGUUCCCACCAUGCAAAGCCUCCCGGUAGUUCUACACCAGAAGCCUUGAAAGUCGAAGUCCAGAGCUCCACGAUUGCUUGAAUCACUUGAAUAUGAAUAGAAUGAACCAGAAAAGCUCUCUUCAUAGUAAUAUGAGCUUUGGAAGAUCAGGUUUCCUUCUACCUUGAAGACAUCCUCAACAUGAGUUCUAUAUACAUGGUGAGCUUCGAAAGUUAGAACUUUCGAUCCAGAUUGAUAAUAAAGAGAUGAGCUUGAAUUCAGGACUUCAUCCCCUCCACUAUAGUAACCGUUUUGACGUUCAGGAAAUGGGGAGAUAUUGAACUCCUCAUAAACUGUUUUUGAUUCCUCAACAACUGAAUCACAGUAAUGACCAUAAUUAGAUUGAGAUGCAGUGGAAGAGACCAUAUUCAAAUAGAAGAAAGUGGAGAGGAAAAACAGCAAGGAAGCAUGAAAAAACUGUAGCUUUGUGGAACAAUCCAUAACUAUAGGCUUAAAUUUCUUCAGACAAGAAGAUUGGGAGGAAGAACUUAUAGCAAACUUGGAAAAGAGGUGAAAGAAUAUAUAGCUCUAUAUCGCUCACUGGAGCUGAGGUGAACUGGACCCAAGGCGGUGGUCGGUCAAACGUCGCAGGAAAUUUCCUAGUUCAAGAGCUUGGAAAAAAGAGCUACUUAAGACUUGACUAAAAAUGAGCAAAGGAUAAGUCUUUCAAAUAUGCUGGUUACAGUUCAGACAUGGACGAAGUCAAGCAAGAAGAAAAAUUGUUGUACUAAGUAAAGCAAAUUUUCUACUUUGCAACUGAUAGAACAUUAUGACAUGUUAUCCUUAAUCAACUAAGUAAAUAAUUGAUCAGAUCAGCACACAAAACCAACACAUUAUUCAAUUUAGUUCAAUUGAGACAAGCCUAAAAUAUAUGUGGGGUCCUGAUUGUUAAAAUCAUACAUUCAGCAGGAUAAAGUGGGAAUCCAGAAGACCACUCAAUUUUGGAACACGUAAUCCAAUUAAGUUGUUUGUUUUAGCUGAAAAGGUCUUUGGGACCAUACAUUAAUCUUCUUUACAGAGAUUAUUUAACUUCACUCUUCUUAGUCUUGGCUGGGACCGAUGAAGGCAAGGCAAUAUGCAUGCUACCUCGAUUGAAUUUAUUGACUUUGAAGACACUCUAAGGGAUCAAGAAGAACCAAAAACAAUAAGGACCAACAGCACCAUAUCUAUGGCUGAGGAAAGUCUUUAGUCUCCCCUUGUGCUGCUCCAUUAAUCAAUUAUUUUCCAUAUAGUUUGUGGAAAUUUAUCCCAAGUUUAAUUCGACAAUGAACUUGUUAUCGCCUCUAAGUCAAUGUCAAUGCACAAGGUUGCUAUCACAUUGUCUUGUAUUUGGGUCCAAGAAUGGUAGUGAAGAACACAGCAAAGCACUGAUAACGAGGGGAUGGUCCAAAAACUAAAAUUUUGCCCAGUCUUGGGUUUGAAGACUUUUCUUGGUUUACUUGGAAAAUUCUGCAGGUCCUACAGUUUGCUUGACGUGAAUUAGAGAUCAUGGAAAUUCCUGGUAACUGCCAAGACUUGGAGUGUAUCCCCUCACCAUUGAUUUUAAGAUAGCUAAACCAGUCGAACCAUGAUUUCUCUUCAUUCAGGGAAAUUAACAUUUUUUUCCUUCAUUCCCCAUAUGGAAAAAGGAAAGGAAAAGGUGAAAAUGCCUGAAGCUUUUAGUUAUCUUUUGGUAAUUCAAGAAAAUGCCUGAAGUUGCAAGUUGCAACUGCAUGAUUUGUUGAAAAACUUGGUGGGAGAAAUUUUUUGUGGCACUAAAACAUUUUUCAACUGAUUUCCAACCGAAAUAUUUCGUUGAAAAAUUUUCGUCAGAAAUCUAUCGAAAAAAAUAAUAAAAAAUUUUAAUAUAUAUCAGUUGAAAAUUUCCAAUAGAAAUUUCCAACGAAAAACCUAUUUUCUUGUUGUGAUUUGGCGAGGAAUUGUGAUGGAAUUAAAAUGUUUUAAUUGCAGUGAAGUAGGGCAUUAUGCAAGGGAGUGUGCGAACUUGAAAACUGUGGGUUAAAUGGGGAUUGAACAAAAAAAGGUAAUAGUAAAUAUUUUUGUUUCUUAAUGUUUUGGGCUUCUAAUAUUUCUUCUCUUCUUUUUGGAGAGAGAAAAUUUCUAAUCUUGAUACAUAAAUGAGCUGGUGCGGAUAAGAAUUUAGAUUUUUUUUAAUGUUCUGGUUAUUGUCGAUUGUUGUCAAUGACUUUGUUCUAACUCUCAAUUGAGCAGCUUCUAUUUUUCAAAAAUGAAGCAUAAAAAACAUAAAUCCAUGCAAGUAGAUAUUCAAAAGAGACAAAUACACGAGUGGUGCCUUUGCCUAAUAAUUAUUAUUUGUACUUAUACACAAGUGGUUUAAUGUGGGUUUGGGACAUAUUUGGUAUUUUUUAAAGCUUUUUCUUUGUACGAGGUUAUUUUAGAAUUUUCAAAAUAUUAGUAUGGCAAUUUGCGUCUUUUUCUCAAAUUGAGGAGAACUAAAUUUUUUAUUAGUUUUAAAUUGAUUCUAAUUUUUAAAUGACAAAAAUAAUAAUCAAAAUUGCCUUCGUAAGAAGCUGGCCAAGUUUCCACUCUUCCUCCAAUCAGAGUGCAGUUCACAACAGUGAAUCCAACAACAAGUGCAUCCUUAAACUUUCCAAGACUUACAACACUGAUGCCGUUCACAUUGUGCUCUUGUUUUAAAUUUAGUUUUUCAAUGACAAUAAUAAAUAAAAUAAAAUUAUUUAUAUGAAUGUAUAAAUCCCACAUUCAGUAAAUAUUAUUUACUUAUAAGUUUAUAAAAGCCCAUGGUACAAUGUUUAAUUGCCCUGCAAGUCGAGAAGCAUUGCUUGUGACCAUGCGGGGCUUGAAUCGCUUAAACACAAUGGAUUAUGUGACCCUUGACCCCAGCAUGUUGCUUGGCCCUGGGCCAGAAGGGCACUCUCAUCCUCCACAGAUGGGUAGCCAAAUAAAACAUGUUGAUUUCAAGCAAGCUACCUAUCUUCCCUGGUUAGCUCGUUAUUUUUUUUCUCUUAAUUAUGUAAAAAUUAUAUUCACCAAAAAAGAGCAUGCAGGACAGCCUCACUGGACACCUUCAUCAUCCAGCACAGCGAGAAUGUCUUUGGUAUGGAGGAGUAUUGUUCAACUUCCUUCUAUUGAAGGGAUGCAAAAUCUGGUUGGUUUUCAUGCCUGUCGUUGGAUUGUAGGUAACAGGGAGACUAUUUUCUUCUGAUUUGACAAGUGGAUUGCCGACAUUCCUCUUGCAUCUAAAUUCCCUAGACUCUUCUCUUUGGUUGUUGACAAAGACAUGAGAGUCCUUGACGCUUGUCAGAAUGGAUACGCUUGUCAGAAUGGAUUAUGUUCAAUCAAUUUUAGGUGCGAGUUGUAUAGCUGGGAGAAAGAGGACUUAGACCGGAUUUUAAACUCUCUUUCCUCUAUUUCACUUGUGCCAUUGAGAGAUGAUGAGCUGGUCUGGACGCAUGAUUCUAAAGGCUUUUUUUCAGUCAAAACUCUUUGCUCGCUAUUGGAUUCCACAGGUGACUCCAACAUGGUGUGGUUUCACUCCAUUUGGAAAUUGGCUGUUCCCCCAAAGAUCCAAUGCUUCCGACGAUUGGCGAUCCUCAACUCUAUCCCUACGAAAGUCUUCCUCUCUUCACGUGGAGUCCAUUUCUCCCCCGACCAGCUUCGUUGUGUGUGGUGUGGCCAAGUUGAGGAGUGUUGUUCUCACAUCCUUCUCACCUACCCGUUCAGUUGGAGAGUUUGGGGAUAUGUUCUUAAAUGGUGGGGAAUCUCUUGGUGUUCUCCGUGUUCUUUAUCCUCUUUUAUGCUAGCUUGGGAUGGCUGCCCUUUGGGGGAAUUAUCUAUAAGAGAUGGUUGAUUGUUUGUGCUACUUCAUUAUGGUCUCUUUGGUUAGUGCAAAAUGAGACAGUCUUUAACUCUAAGGUAUGGGAUGGCCUCCAAAUUUUUUUCCUCAUCAAAUUAUGUUCAAUGUUCUAGAUACGAGCUUCUGAAGGUGUCGAUGCCAUUGAUGAUAUGGGAUGGUGGACUGACCCACGUCUAUCUUCAAGGAGGAAAGCACCACAUCACCACCACGUGGGCACUUCAUGGUCUCCACCCCCCACUGGUGAAUUCAAAUUUAAUGUCGACAGCUCAGCUAAAGGCAAACCAGGACUUGCUGCUAGCGGCGGCGUCCUUCGAGAUUCUAAUGGACAUGUUGUUGGCCUUUUCUUUUGCCCUAUUGGCUUUCAUGACUCCAACUUUGCAGAGCUUAUGGCCAUUCUUAAGGCUCUUAAACUCUUUGCUGCUACUCCUUAUACAUUGCAACGACCUCUCCCCGGUCGCUGCUGGUGUCCAAGACUUCUGAAAAAGACUCGCCAAGUCUUGAACAAGCCUGUCUAAAAUUUGCUCGUUAAUCCACUACAUUCAAUCACCAUGUAAUAUUGAUACUUUCAUAUACUAAAUUGAACCAUAAAUAUAAAAUUCAAUACAAACUUUUUUCCUUUUAUUCGUAAGUAUAUGCAUUAAAAUCUAUUAUCUCCAAAUUAAUGCUUAUAUAAAAAUUUAGAAUUCGUUUACAACUUAAUAAAUAAAAUGCUACAACUUGACCUAUAACAGCGGAGUGACUCGGAAUAAAAUGCUAAGAGAUACCUUUACCUAUUCCCGGUGGACCGAACGCGUCACUAACUAUACGCUAGGCUGAUCCCUAUCUGCAAAAGGGGAAAUAAAGGGGUGUGAGUCUCAUAGACUCAGUGAUAAUCAUCGACUCAGUGAGUAGGGUGUAGAUGAGAAACAAGCAAACGGCACAUCAGUUGAAUAUAAAAAUGCAAGAUUAUAAAAAUAAUUCGUUUCAAACGAGGGUUUGUGCCUUAUAUAAAAAUCGAGAAUUUCUUAUAAAGUAUAAAUAAUCGAAGUAAUAAAAUUUUUCGCAUCAAAAUAUAUUAAUAAUCAUUUUUGAAUCAAAUCAAUAAAAUUUAGCAAGCUCCCGCGAAACCAAAUAAUAUUUAAAAUCAUGCCCAAAUCAUAACUCGCCCCGUAUGCGAGGAAUUUUAGAUUUAUUUCACAGAUAAACAAAUACGGAAGUUGCGAAAAAUCGUUUAAUUCCAUUUUCACCAUGCAGAGAAAUAGAAUUCAUAAUAUUAAAACUUAUUUCAACUCAUAUAAAAUCAUUACAUUUUUGUCAAAAAUAAACAACAUGGCUUAUGACUUCCUUAAAACUUUGGCUCGUGCCAAAAUCAUUCUCAUACUUGAUUGUCAGGGAUACCUUGGCCUGGGGCUAUCCCAACCGAGUUCGCCAAGGCUUUUAAAAAGUUAUGUAAGCAUAAAUCAUGUUUUUAUUUUAAAAACAUAGCCGUUCAUUGGCGUUGGCUGAGUUCACCCUCACGUGGUGGUUUGGAGUGAAGUGAACUCUAAAGUUUUACCUCGGGAGUUACCCUACGCGUAUCUCCGACCGAGGUACAUAUAUAACCAGAUUUUAUACCCCUCUAAUAGGCUGGUCCACAGAAUCCGCCCACUGCAGCAAGCUAAACCCACCAUACAAUAAAAUUCAACAGCAUGAUGUGGCAAUUAUUUUACAACACAGCAUGUCAAAGCAAAACAGCAGUUUAUACAUUUUCAACACAUUUACCAAUCCAGCCAAUCAUGCCCACAUUAUCAUAAGCCAUUCGAUUCAAAAUACAAUUUAUAACACAACAAAUAGCAGUCUCCAAUUACUCUUAAAUUUCUUGAUUAAAAUGAAAUUACCUUUUAAAAGAAUUCAAAUUUGCUCUUCAAGGGGAUAUUUUAAAUCUUUCUCAAAAUAUUGGUCCCCACAUCACGUUAAAACUCUCUUUUCGUAAAAUGUUCAUUGUAAAUAUUUGCAUGAUAUUUUGUAUCAAAAUAGCAUGGUGAAUAUGUAAUAAAUUUCAUGAAUGCACACCACACAAACAAUAAGGCACAAUUUCCUUUGAUGUAAAUCUUUUCAAAAAGCUUGUUUCCCGGUUUAAAACACUUUACGUCUAAUAUAUAUAUAUUUCAAAUGAUUUCUAAAAAUAACUUACACCCACAAUUCCUUAAAAUUCUAUCAACGCAUGCUUUCCAUAAAUUUUGCACUUCACGUAAAAUAUACGUACAUGUAUAUAUAUACGAAAGUUUUAAAAUUGACAUCCCCUACUCACCUCAUAAUAGUGGGAUAUUACUUCACUAUUAAUUCGUACGCGUAUAUAAUUAUUCCUAUUUGUCGGUCACAUACUUCGUUCGGUACGCCUCCACGACAAACUUUCCUAGCAACAAUUUAAACUCAGUAUACUUAAUCACACAUUUGUAUGGGUAGCAACUUAAUUAAAAAUUCCUUAAGCAAGUUGCAUAUUUUUCAUCUAAAAAAUGCACAAUAUUAAACUACCCAUAAACCUUAAAAUAUAACAUUAACUUACCAUUGGGUCUUUUUCAUUUUUUUAUGACCUUCGGGUCCUCUCCAUGGGCUUCUUCAUUUUUCCUAUUUGGGCCAAGCCCAUUUAUUUUUAUUUCUUAUUGGGCCAUGCCCACUUAUUUUCUAUUGGAUCAUGCCCACUUAUUUUCUAUUUCUUUUCUUUUCUCUUUCUUUCUUUUUCUCUCUUCCACCGUCACUCCCUUCACCACCAUGUCUUCCUCUCUUCACCACCGUGGCUUCCUCUCUUCCUUUCCUCUCAAAACCGGUCACCAAAAGCCUCAUUUUCUCACCCUUUUUGCUACCAUUUUCUGCUCUAAAAUCAGCAGAUUUCCAGCUCAAUUUCCAGCAACAAAACUUCUCAAUUUUGGCAGCACAAAGCUGUCCAAUUUUCCUGCACAAACUACCAGCAAACAGCUCCAAUUUUUCUGCACAAAAGGGCAACAAACAGCUCCAAUUUUUCUGCACAAAUUGGCAGCAAACAGCUCAAAUUUUUCUGCACAAAGUUGUCCUUCAAUGGCAGUAAAAACCUCCAAAAAGUUCCAGCAACAAAUUCACACAAUUUCAGCAGCAACAACCUUGAAUUUUCAGCAUCAAAAUCAGCCAUAAAAACCUCAAAAAUUCCUGCAAUUAACCUCAAAAAAAUUCAGCUUUCUCACCUCAAAAUUUUCAGCUUUUUCUUCCUCCAAAAAUUGCAGCAAAAAACUCUCUUUUCCUCCCUCAAAGUGCAGCAAAACCGUGCCAAGAAAAGAGCAGAAUUUUUCACUCCUUCUCUCUCCCUCUCCCAUGGUUUUUCUUUCUUUUUUCCUUUCCUUUCUUUUGCUUGGCUUUUGUUUCUUUCUUUCCUCUUCAUAACCGACUUCUCUUCAUUUCUUUUCUUCUUUCAUCUCACAUGGCCAGCCCCACCAUCAUUUUUACACUCUUUUCUUUUGUUUUCUUUUUUUUUUGUCUUUCUUCCAUUCUUUUGUAUGGCCGGCCAUUCACCUCACUUGGUUCCAAAUUUAGUAUUAUUCCAAAUGACUUUAACUUUUCUUCAUUCCCAUCCAAACCACGUCAUUCCCAUUCUUGACUCAUGUGGUCACUCAUGCACAUAUAAAAAUAUUGUUUGACUUUUCAACAUCUUUUCUUCAUUAUUUUAUCAUCCAUUUUAUUUUCUUUUUAUUUUUAUUUCUUCAAAACAAUAAAAUUUACAUAUUAUGCCUUAACUUCAUUUUAUUUGGUACUCAAUCUUUCAAUUUACGUAUCUUAAAAUUUGAUCAUUCCGACACGUUUAAAAAUUUUAAUUUCCUUCUAUCUUUCUUUUCUUACACGUGUAUAAUCAAAAUAUCGAGAUCGCAUUUCAACGCGGUGUCACCAUAAUAUUUAAAUAUUUACUUACCCGUGUUAGCUCGAUUUAAUAAAAUCACACUGACACAAUUAUCGUCGUUUUCCUUCAAAAUUCUUCUUUACUUCUUCUACGCCACUUAAAUUAGUCAUAGUCCAUUUUUCAUGACUAAUUCCGACAACAUAUAAAAUACUAAUAUUUUAAUAUUAUUUUAUUAAAUAAAAUAUUAUUUUAUUUCAAAAUUUUUCACUUGCCUUCUUUGGUCCCGAAACACAUCUUUACAUCUCGGUUUACUUCUGAAUCAUCAUUUAGCUUACUAAUUCCUCUCCAAUGAAAAUAUUAUUAUUUAAUUGUUGUUUUUACACGCGCGAAACAUUUUAUUCUUGAACGCUCAUUUCAUCCUUUGUCGCUCUUUAGCACGUCAAUUCACAUCAAACGAUCAUUUGUUUGAUCAAUAAGGUCUUAUUUGUGUCCAACGAGGGUGCGGGGUAUUACAUACAUCAUCUCCCUUAAUCAUUGAAUCUGAUUCACGCGUUGCUCUCUCGUGGGUUAACUCAGUUGAAAAAAGACCAUGGGACAAAUGGAGUAUUUUUAACGAGUUAGACUCUCUCCGCGUUAUGCUAGGUACAGUUUUUUUUAAGCAUAUCUUCAGAGAAGGAAAUGGUUUUGCUGAUUCCUUGGCAAAGUAUGGUGUCAAUAAUAACACAUCAUUUUCUGCUUGGUGGUGACCUCAAUGGUCUCUUUGAUUCUAACCUCUUUUGUUGUUCUUACUCUCUGAUAUUUGGAUCACCACAUCUUGUUUUUCUCACCAACGUUUGGCUGCUCUUUGCUAUUCUGUUUUUUUUAGUUCAUUUCAUAGGCAAGGCUCUCCUCAGGUUUUUCUUUUGCCUUUGAUCUUUUGUAACAAUGAGUACCUCUCAUCUGCUACCUGCAAUUGCUGUUCUUAUGGCUGACAUGCCUUCUUUUGCACUUACUAAUUAAUCUUAAUGAAUAGCUUAGCAAAAAAAAAACUAAAAAGAGCACGUAUGCAAAUGAAUUAUAAUGGCUCAAAUAAUUAAAAAAAAAGUCUUGAAAUAUAAAUGCAUUUUUGUAAUUAGGUUCUUACAUUUUUAUUGCACACAAUUAAGUUCUUUUUAAUUUAAUUGUGCCCAAUUGAACCAUAUUCUUUUAUUUUACCUAAUUGAGUGUCUAGUUCAGAAGUGUAAUGUUUUGUUUUUCUCUUGAUUAUGUAAAAAUUAUAUUCACCAAGAAAGAGCAUGUAUGGAAAUGAAUUAUAAAGGCUAAAAUAAUAAAAAAAGUCCUGAAAUAUACAUGCAUUUUUGUAAUUAGGUUCUUACAUAUUUAUUGCACCUAAUUAAGUUCUUUUUAAUUUAUUUGUGCCCAAUUGAAUGAUACUCUUUUAUUUUACCUAAUUGAGUGUAUAUAUGAACUCUAACGUGCUGUGCUGAUUAGAAACGAUAAGUACUAUUGAAGUGGAAUUUCUUAAGAUUUAAAUUGUCGCUCAAACCACAACGAAAGCUGAUGAUGUGGCGUACCACAUCAGUAAUACUUGUUAUGCUUAGUCAGCACGUCAGAUUAGAUUUCACUCAUUCAAGAAUUGAUAUUGAUAGUUUUCCUUCAGAAUAUAUUUGUUAUAUUUUGAUUACGAGUUUAAUUGGGCACAAAUAAAAAAAUUUAAUUAACUAUGAUAAAAAUGUAAGAACUCAAUGCAAAAUUACAUACAAUUGAAUAGUUUUUUUAAUUAUUAAAGUUUUAUGCUGCCAGCUGUUAAAGAAAAAAAAAAGGAGAUAAAGUAGAAUAAGCUAAGGGUAGAUAUUAAAAUCUGUUGGCCUUCCUCAUUUUAGCACAUGUAAGCUUAAAGAGUGGUCACGGUAGGCUUCAAUUAGGUGACUCUUAAUAGUAGGCUUCAAUCAACUUUUUUGGAAUAAAUACUAAUAUUUUAAUAUGUAAAUAAACAUUAUCACAUUAAUUCUACUAAAUUAUUUUCGACAAUUACCUUAUAAAUAAAUUUAAAAAAAAAAAGCGGGCUAAAGUCUAGUUUUAUUAAUGUAAAUACAAACCAGGUCUAGGAUUGCUAUUCAAGGAGCCAAGGUUGACCCUCUUAUCUUCUCGUAGGCAACUUGUUGGGAUGAACCAGGUCUCUGGAGUUUUACUAAGGGUCUUAUAGUCUAAUCAAUUUUAGAGAACAACUUUUAGUGGGAUUUUCCUCUUGAUGGCAAUUAUUACACCCACUAACAUGGUUGAUUUUGGAUUAAGAUGACUGAAUUCAUGAACUCUUUGCAAUUUGCCAAGGCCUGCAUUUAAUGUUUCCGGUAUAAAGCAAGCUCAAAUGUCCAUACUCCCUUCCUCAACUCCACAUUACACUGUUAUCUUCUCGUCAUGCUUGUUCCCAGCCCCGCUUUGAAUUGCAGUUGGCUUUCCCCAUCCAAAAUCAAAACUAUAAUAAUCAAACCAAGGCGAACCACCUAAGAUCAGAAGAUUGCUUACAGUACUUGCUAGGCUUGCUGUCAAUAGAAGAGGGCUUUCCCUCCAUGAUUCCAAGAAAGUCACCAUCUUUUUCUUCAGACUGACGAAAUAGACUUGUUUGUUUCCCAUGCUGCGUUUCUGAGCCCUUUUUCUAGUAGGUCCUUUACUUUCAUUGUUAUAACUCCACCUAGAAUCGCAUUUCCAAUAUAUUGUUGAGACAGCUGAUGCAAUCUUGAUUUUGCACUAACUGGUAGGAACAAAUUGGUCUCUUCCACGGGAUCAAGAUUUUUGCAGCGGAUAACAGUUCGCCAAAUAUGAGAUAAGAGUGCCUGGAGAGAGGAGAUUUUGUCUGUGCCAACUUCAGCAUUAGCUUUUGUCUUAAGAUUUGCAAUGCUUUCCUUUGUGAAAUGAAAAAACCUUACUUGUAAACAUGGAGGAAUGAAGUCAUGGAAACCAAACAGACCCGCAAAACCAUUUGGAAACCAACGUUGAAACCUCGGGCCUUGGUUCAUUCAAUGGAACCUCAAAAAAUUUCAGCCCAAGAAUUAGAAAAAUGCACAAACGAUGUGCCAUCAACCACAACAUGAUAGUAAGUUCAGCUAAUGAAGAUGCCAUCUACAAGCUCAGUGACUUGUACUGCGAGUAAUGGCUUGGAACUGUCCUCAUAAUUUUUAAAUGAUAUCAGAAAUCAGUAGCGGAACCAGGAUUUCACAUUUGGGGUAAAGAGUCGAAGACAAUAUAAAGCAUUAGAUGGAAAAAAUUCAUGUAAAAAUUAUACAAAUAAAUUCUGAAAAUUCAAAAAAUCAAUCUUAAUAAUUUACUGAAAAGAAUUAAUUAGUAUAAUCAUAAAUAAUUUAAUAAUAAAAAUAAUCAUAAUUUCUAGAUAAACUUAACAACAAACAAAAAUUAACAAAUAUAAUAACAAAAAUCUCAAUCGAAAGCAAUUCCCUAAAAAAUAUUAAGGUCUAUUGAUAAAUAAUUCAAUGGGAAGCAAUUCCCUAAAAUUAAUCACAAAAAUUAAAUACAAUAUUAACAAACAAUUCAAUGAGAAAGCAAUUCCAAAUAAAAAACUUAAUUGUUCACGAGAAUCUAAGCCAAAAAAAACACAAAUAAUUUAUAAUAAAGCAAUCAAACAAUUCUUAAUAAAUAGGUAAUAACUAACCUUAAGUGCUUAAUCAAAUCCUUGUUUUGUUGUUUUCAACAAAAAAUGGCUAAGAUGGUAAUUCUUAAAUCAAAAUUACUAAGCAGAAAUUAUUAAAUAAAGAAAAAUUUUAAAGUUGAAAAUAUUAAAAAUAAAAUAAGUAAAUAAACCAAACUUACCAAUUAUUAUGAUAUAAAAAUUGAGCUACUAGCUAGAGGUUUUCUGCACAGAGAAUGCUAACAAGUAAAAAAGUGUAAAAUUUUUUUUUUGUUUAUACACUAUAUGGUAAAAAGAGAAGAGAUUAAGAGGAGGUGGUUAUGAGGUUUUGGAGAAAUAGGGUUUGGGAAUAAUUUUAUUGUAAUAGGUUUUGUUUUAGUCUUAUUAAAAUUAGUUGUGGACUAAUUGGUGUAGGGCAUCUCACUAAAUAAAAAAUUAUUGUAGGGAUAAAAUUAUAAAAUUUUAAAAAAACUAAAGUAUGCUAGAAAAAUUUUAAAAUUUUUGUAGGGAUGAAAUUAUUAAGUUUUUAAAAAAAAGAUAAAUUAUAAAAAUUUUGAAAUUGUUGAACGGGCGGGGGCCACUAACCCUCCUCCCCUCCGCCUCUGUCAAAAAUAGUUAUCCUAUUAGCUGCAGCAUGAACAAACAGGACACCAGCAUUGCUGCAGUCAAUGAAAAAGGAAGAGGUGUUAUACUCGAGUUCAAUGGUUGCAAAGGGACCUGCAAGGGGAGAAAAGUAAUCGAGCGUUUGUGAAAGGGAGGUUUUUAAUUGGUGGACUAUGGUCUGUCCUAACUCUUCCUCUUUUUCGAAUUUUGGCUUGUAUUAGAGAAGUCCCUUUGGCACAUAGUCCAUAGGAAGGAACAUGAGAUCCUAGGAAGGUAACUCGAUCCUAGAUAUGAACAAUCCCACAUGAUCUAAAUUCUUGUUCCUAGAGAUGAAAAGAAUAUAUCUCCCAUAUCUCUAUAUGUUGACAAGUUCUAUCCAACAACCAUCAAUGGCCUUAUCCUAGAGCAGACAAUCUCUCCACUUAACUAAUAGAGGCUAUAAAGAGAGAGGAGGCUGGCCUUCGAAUAUUUCUUGAUGGUGGCAAACAGAAAGGAAAAACAAAACAAAAAAAAAUGAAAAUGAUUCUUAAUUGGUUGUUAAUGGAGUUUAAUCACCCAAUUCUAAGGGCAUUAUCCCACCAAUACCUUUGCUCCAAGGACAAAUAAUUUUAACUAAAAUUUUUAUGUUUUGAAAUAAAUAAAAUUAGUUUAAAUAUACUGGCUCCUUGGCUGUUUUUGUGCCUUCACUUUAAUCCUAUAAUAAUUAUGUUAGGCAAAUGCCCAAAAGUACAUUCGUUUUACACUAAUUAAUAAGCAAAUUUAAUUAUGUUAGGCAAAAGCCGAAGAGUACAUUCGUUGUACACUAAUUAAUAAGAAAUUUUAAUUAAAUCAAAGAGAAUAUAUGUUCUCGAUGGGAAAUUUUUAAGCAAAUUUAAUUAAAUUGAAGAGAAUAUACGUUCUAGCGGAGAGCCGCUCUUAACAGAGAGUCAUGAAUUCCACAUCAAGUGAAGAUGUUAUAGGUCCUAAUAGGGAGUUAUGAAUCCCACAUCAAUGAGGAUGUCAUAGGUCCAGUGAAGAGCCCUAAAUCUCGUCAUAGUAGCCUAUGGUUUUAAUCCACGAAAGAAACCUCACAAGUUGAAGGUGGUUCAAAUGCCCAGUACACUCCCCACCUACUAGAAGCAUAUCUAUACGAUGUGGAAUUCAAAUGACUCCUCGCUAGGGACCGUGACAUCCUUCCCCCUCUUCAACAAGGGUUCACUGUCCUCAAACGCAUAUCACUACCCGAGUUCACUCUAAUACCAACUAUCACGGCUUACACCAAACCCUAUGUGGUAUUAGCCACUUUAGUUCACUGGCCUUAAGAUUUUGUCUCACAAAAAUCACCUCACAAGUUGAAUGUGGUGUGAAUUCUUAAUUGCCUAGUAUCACUCCAGUACACAUUCGAUGUAAAAUCUCUUACUCGCCUCUAGAACCAUAACAUCUUCUCUUGACUGCCCGUUGGGAGCUUCUCCUCAAUGUGGGACUUAAAGCUCUACCCAUUGAGAGCAUAUCUCUAUGAUAUGGGAUUCACAUGGCUCCUCGCUUGGAACCAUAACCUUGGACAUUUAAGAGUUGACACCAUCUUCCUUGAUAUAUACUAAAAAAAUUUUGAAAUUAACCUUAAUCAAAUCUAUUUUUGAAAAUAAUUAAAUUCAACUAAAAAAUAAAUACAGCCCAUUAUCUCUAAACUAAAAUUAAAUUUAAAAGUUGAAUACUGGCCUACACCAAGGCUAGUGAAUUAGAUACAAUUUUCAUUGCCUCAAUAGUUAGGCAACGUGAAAAUGGAUGAGUUCCCAUUUCUUUUUUGUUCUUUCCAUAAAAAAAGAGAUACAAUUUAAAUUUCUAUUCUAGAAUUUCCUCGGUAUCUGUACAAGCAUGAUCUGCAUAAAAUUCUAUGCUGCAGUAAUACACCUUCCAGUGAAGAAAUCAGAACACAUUCAGUCAGCUAUCCCAAUAUAUUAUUCACUUAUAUAUGAUCAUUUGGAUUUAAAUUGAUUUGAGGCUUCUAUAUUAGGCAGUGAUGGCACAGGGAGGUGGAAUUUGUUUCCAAGAAAUUCUAGGCUUAAAAUUAUGAUAAAAGACUAAUAUAUUCAAAUUCAAGAUACUCAAGUACAACAUAGGACUCAUUUUAAUUAGUCUGUCAUUUUAAUUUGACAAUUUGAAGGAUAUAAUAUCUCCAAAGUGCAUAUCAAAGUUAGUGCCUUCAAAAGAAUCGGCCCAUCCAUCAGGGCUGCCACCCAAGCUAGGGCUUUAGACCUCAAUUUUGGAGAGGUCCCACAAUGCUAUAAUAAUAAUAUAAUUAAUUAUAUUAGAAAUGCAUAAAAAUUAAGAUAGUUAAUAAAAUAUUUACCUAUUUUCUCAUCCCUAAUAAAUAAUUAUUUUCUCUCACUUCCACAUUUCUAUUAAUUCUCAAUUAAUCAUCUCAUUUUUCAUUAAAAAUAUAUAAAAAUAAAAAAUAAUUAAUAAAAUAACAUAUUCUCUCACUUCCCUAAUUAUGUGCGUGAUGAAUUUCAAUUUUUAUCACUGCCCAAUUCUUAUAAUACUAUUAAUUUUUUACUAUUUAUCCUAUUUCCAAUCAACAAACAGUAAUAUUUAUUUAAUAAUCUUUCUCACCUAUUUUUCGUAUUGUCAUUUAACUUACGGUAAUAUGUAUUUAAUGAUUUUCAACAGCUAUUUUUUCCUAUAUAUAAACUAAUUAUCUUUUUUUUUCAAUUUAUAAUAUCCAAAUUCAAAUUUUUCUUCCCACAUUUGCUCCUUUUUCUUUUAACUUCAAUUUUUCUCUAAAGAAUACACAAGAAGCCAAAGCAGACAAUGUCUCACAAGGAUCAGUGUAAACUAAGGAUAGUGGGCACUUGUUGAAGUGAAGGAGGAUGUUCCCUUAGUGUCAUGGUCCUCACGUGGACGUGAAUUCCACAUUGUCGACAUAAUGCUACCAACAGGUAGAGCCAUAAAGUUCCCACAUUAACGAGAAACUCCCAACGGGAAGUAAGGGAGGAUGCCAUGGUCUUAAAGAGGAGAGCCAUGAAUUCUACAUAGACUAUGUACUAAAGUGAUAAUAGUCAUAUAAAGGGUUCACACCACCCUUUUGUGGGACAAAACAGUAAGACCAGCAGGCCGAAGCGGACAACACCUCACAGAGGUUAGUGUGAACAGUGACAGUUGGUAUCAAAGCGAACACUAGGUACUAGUGAUGUGUCACUAAGGGCACUAGGCCCUUGUUGAAUUAGGGAGGAUGUCACGGUCCUCGUGUAGAUAUGAAUCCCGCAUCGUCGAGAUAAUGCUACUAGGGAGUAAAGCCACAACGUCCCCACAUUGAAUAAAAACUCCCAACGAGGAAUAAGGGAAGAUACCAUGGUUCUAGAGAGAAGAACCAUGAAUCUCACAUCGGUUAUGUACUAAAGUGAUAUUAAGCAUAUAAGGUUCACACCACCUUCAACCUACGAGGCAGCUUUUGUGGGACAAAACCGUGAGCCCAAUGGGCCAAAGCGAACAACACCUCACAAGGGUUGGUAUGAAUGCAUGGAUGUGAAUCCCACAUUGUCAAGAUGAUGCUCCAAGCGGGUAAGGCCACAAAGUCCCACAUCAAAGAAAAACUCUCAACGAGAAGUAAGACAGGAUGUCAUAGUCUUAGAGAGGGAAGCACUAAAUCUCACAUCGUCUAUGUACUAGAGUGAUACUAAGAAUAUAAGGGUUGAUACCACCUUCAAGCACCUUUUGUGGGAUAAAACCAUGAAGCCAAAGGGCCAAAGCGUACAAUACCUCAUAAUGGUGUGGAUUGUAACAUUUAAUAUCAAAGCGGACUCUAAGUACUAGCGAUGUGCCACUGAGGACAAUGGGCCUUUGUUGAAGUGGGGGAGGAUGUCACGGUCCUCGCGUGGACAUGAAUCCCACAUCGUCAAGGGGAGUAAGGGAGGAUGUCAUGGUCCUAGAAAUGGGAGCCAUGAAUCCCACAUCAGCUAUGUACUAGAUUGAUAUUGGGAAUAUAAGGGUUCACACCACCUUCAACCUAUGAGACACCUUUUGUGGGACAAAACUGUGAAGCCAGCGAGCCAAAGCGGACAAUAUCUCAGAGUUGGUGUGUGGACUGUGACACCUAGUGUGGACCAUGUGCAUCUUACAUCAUAGAAGAUAGUUAGUGUGAUAAUGGGCAUAUGUGGACCUUGACAUCUAAAGUUGGGAAAGGAAGCCCUAGUAGGGCUCCACAUGGGACUGGGUCAUGUCUGGUAUUUCUUCUAGUUUCUUUAUUGCAAGAGGUUACUUCAAGAUUUUAAAAAAUUUAACAAGAUAUUUACGUCCUUUCCUCAUACUAUGAAGUAAUAAAUAUUUUUUUUAGCUUUAAAUUGAUUCUAAUUUCCAAAUGACAAAAAUAAUGAUCAAAAUUGCCUUCCGAAGAAGCGGCCCAAGUUUCCACCCUUCCUCCAAAAGCUGGCCAAGUUUCCACCCUUACUCCAAUCAGAGUGCAGUUCGCAACAGUGAAUCCAACAACAAGUUUAUCCUCCAACUUUCCAAGACUUCCAACACUGAUGCCAUUGACAUCGUACUGUUGAUCUAAAUUAGUUUUCUAAUGAAAAAAAUAAAGAAAAUGAAAUUAUUUAUACGAAUGUAUAAACCUCACAUUCAAUAAAUAAUUAUUUACUUACAAGAUUAUAGAUCAUUGCCCUCCAAGACGAGAAGCAUUAAUACUUGUGACCAAACGGUGCAUGAAUGGCUUAAGCACAUUAGAUUAUGUGACCCUGGACCCAGAAGAGCACUCCCUUCCUCCACAGAUGAAUAGCAAAUAAAAUUUCAAGAUUUCGUUGAUGCUGCCUCUACAAGCUAAGCUGGGGUGGGUCUAUCCUAUCCUCCAUGGAUAGGUAGCAAUUUUUUUUUUCUCAGGAUAUGUUAUUCAAUUACAACUAAUCUUAAUUUUAUUCUCUUUUCUUUAUAUAUCCGAAAAAACAAUUGAUCUCAAAUGGCUUGACAAACGCACACUAUACUGCGGCAAUGAAGAAAGGAAAAUUGAAAAUUUUUUCUUUUAUAUUUUUUACGCAUAUUUUUUACUCCUUUACUAGUCUUUCGGUAGGGGGAUAUAAAAUUUUACUUCAAAAAUGUUGUGAAAGAAUAAAAUAAAGUUAUGUGCGCACUCGAUGAGUUCCAAACAUCUCUAUUCCCAUUUCUUAAAAGGAAAGAAAAUAUACAAUUUUACUUUAAAAAUGUUGUGAAAGAAUAAAAUAGAGUUAUGUGCGCACUCGAUGAGUUCCAAACAUCUCUAUUCCCAUUUCUUAAAAGGAAAGAAAAUAUACAAUUUUACUUUAAAAAUGUUGUGAAAGAAUAAAAUAGAGUUAUGUGCGCACUCAAUGAGUUCCAAACAUCUCUAUUCCCAUUUCUUAAAAGGAAAAAGAAAAUUCAGUCACGUCCAUGUAUGAAUAUUCUUUUAAUCUGGAUAGGAUAAUAGACAAAGAAAAUUAAAAUGAUUUUAGAUUGUGAAUUUGAGAAACUAAGACUCAUUUGCUGUUGCAAACAAGAUGCAGCUAACAAGGUUUAUGUGAAACUUGAAAGUAUUUCUUUCUGAACAUUCCAAUCUUGGAAUGUGUCCUGGGGCGAGGGUUUAUCUGCCAAAGAUAGAGAGAGUCUCAGAAUACUUAUAUUGUUUAUAUUACAUAGGCACAGACAACUUACAUAAGUACACAGUAAUUUACAGACUUAUUUCAGAACAGAAGUAGAGAUAGAUACAUCUCCAUGUUGAACAGAAGGAGUAAAACCAGCAGGCACUAGUUGCCGGAUUUUAGUGGAAAUUGAUCUUCUGAAGGCAUUGGCAGCUCCUCAUAUAUUACUGAUUCUUGAAAUCUCUUUGGAAGGAAACAUCGACCACCAAAUCGCUGUUGCAAGUAUCUGAUUGCAGUAAAGAACAGGCCCAACAUAGGAAUAAUGAAGUCCUAAGCAGUUGAGCAGUAAUCUGCAGCAGGAUCUGCAUAGAUGUAUAAGUCAUCAACUCCAAGAAAAUUGCGAACCCUGUCAAGAUCAUAUCCAUGAGGUACCGGGCAAACAAGGGUAAUGCUGAUGUAGAAGAAACGAGAAAGAGCCUCUUCUCUUGAAUUCUGGAGCAUGCUCAACAGGCAUGAACGGCCCAAUAAUCUUAAACGCCUAAAGCCAAAUAUUCAAAUGACACCUUUUUUAUUGAAAUUAAAAAAAAAUAUUAAAUUUUUCUUUUUCAAUUGAUAAUAAAGCCCAUCUAUUUAUUCUUUCUUGAUAUAUCCUUGAUUUUAAAUAAGAUUUUAUUAAUUUUAGUUUUAAAAAACUUCUUUCUCAUUAAGCAACACAUACUAAAAUUAUUAAUAUAUGUGUUUAGAAAAGAAUCAAAUCUACUCAUAUAAUUAAGUAUGUCGAUUGGACUAUUAUUUUUCAUUUGUAUAAUUUCUUUUAAAAUUUUUUACUUUGAAAAUAAAUUUAAACUAUUAAUAUCAUAAUAGUUAUUAUAUUUUAAGUAACAUUCAAGAUUAAGGUAAUAUCCUCAAGUUCAAUGCUUGCAAGGCGGCCUACAAGGGAUGGUUUUCAGUUGGUGGACUAUGGUCUCUCCGAACUCUUCCUCUUUUUCCAGUUUUGGCUUUUAAUAGAGAAGUCCCUUUGGCGCAUAGUCCAUAGCAAGGAACAUGAGAUCCCAGGGAGCUAACUCGAUCCUUUGAACUUCCUUCUUGGGGUUGGCAGCUUGAACAAUGCUAGCACAGAUGAAUCGAAUAUCCCCCAUGUCUCUAUAUCUUGUUAAUGGUUCGCAUAAUGCUCAGAAAUUGAAACGUAUCUUGUUUAUAACCUAACUCAACCAUAAGAAUAAUAAUGUAUCCAUUUAAUUGAUGAUAAGUUCUAUGCAAGAACCAUGAAUGGCCAUAUCCUUGAGCAGACAAUCUUAACAAAUAGAGGCUAUAAAGAGAGGAGGCUGGCCCUCGGAAUAUGUCUUGAUGUUGGCAAACAGAAAUAAAAGAAAAUGCUUAAAGGCAUUACCCAAUUGUUAAUGGAGUUUAAUUACCCAAUUCUAAAGGCAUUAUCCGACCAAUUCUAAAGGCCGGUAAGCGAAGGUUUUCAGUUGGUGGACUAUGGUCUCUCCUAACUCUUCCUCUUUUUCCAGAUUUGGCUUGUAAUAGACAACAAGUCCCGUUGGCGCUCCUAGCAAUGAAUAAUCCCACAUCGUCUAAAUACUUGAUUUUAGAGAUGUUUAUAAAGGGUUACGCUACUUCCGUCUUUGCUCUCAUUAUUACUUAUAAAAGAGAGAUCACCACUAUUGAAGAUCAGACUCUCAUAUCAAAGGAUGAGAAAUUUUUUCUUGAAAUAUUCUUUUUUCAGAUGGAAAGGACAUUAUCGAUUUAAAAUUUUUAAUAAUUAUGAAUCAACCAAUGGUUAUGAGGAGCUAAAAAUUUGAAUGAUUAAUUUUUCUAAAUUAUGUAAUGAAAAUUUUAAAUUCCAAAAAAAAAUCUUUUUCUGCUAAAUUAUUUGUUAAAAGUGUAACAAAUAGAUAAUCAAUGAUACAAAAGACAUUAUCGAUUUAAAAUUUUCGAUAAUUAUAGAUCAAUCAAUGGUUCCGAGGUGUCAAAAUAAUUGAAUGAUUAAUUUCUCUAAAUUAUUUAAUGAAAAUUUUAAAUUCCAUAAAAAAUAUCCUUUCUUGCUAAAUUAUUUGUAACAAGUGUAACAAAGGGAUAACCAAUGGUAAAAAAAAAAAAGUACAGAAUUGACGUUGCGACUUUCUGUUAAAUCAAGGAUACAAGAACUUUUGAUUCAGCUUGAUAAUAAUUGGAUAAGCUUGAAUUCAGGACUUCAUCCCCUCCACUGUAAUAAUUGUUUUGAUGUUCAGGAAAUGGGGAGAUAUCACUAACCUAAAAUGGAUAGUGAACUUUCGUAACUUUUGUAUGAAUGAAUGUCCCUUUGGACUAUGCGCAUAAUCCAUAGCAAAGAACAUGAGAUCCCAGGGAGGUAACUCGAUCCCUUGAACUUCCUUCUUGGGGUUAUUGCCGAGUUUCGUUUUCUUAUACCAAUAUCAGAGAUCAAUCCUUUCUCAACAAACCAAGCCUUAAAAGCAACGACAACAAAUACCACUUAAAAAAUUUCAACACGGAUGGAUAGCCAACUAAAAUUUCAACAUCAUUUCAUUGGUGCAACUACUACUAAAAAAUUGAAUGAUUAAUUUCUCUAAAUUAUUUAAUAAAAAAUUUAAAUUUCAUAAAAAAUACCCUUUUCUAUUAAAUUAUUUGUAAAAAGUGUAACGAAGGGAUAACCAAUGAUACAAAAGGCAUUAUUGAUUUAAAAUUUUCGAUAAUCAUGAAUCAAUCAAUGGUUGUGAGGUGUGGAAAAAAAUUGAAUGAUUAAUUUCUCUAAAUUAUCUAAUAAAAAUUUUAAACUCCAUAAAAAAAAUCCUUUUCUGCUAAAUUAUUUGUAAAAAGUGUAACAAAUGGAUAAUCAAUGAUACAAAAAGGCAUUAUCGAUUUAAAAUAUUUGAUAAUUAUGAAUCAAUCAAUGGUUGUGAGGUGCGAGAAAAAAAUUAAAUGAUAAAUUUCCCUAAAUUAUUUAAUGAAAAUUUUAAAUUCCAUAAAAGAUAUCCUCUUCUGUUAAAUUAUUUGUAAAAAGUGUAACAAAGGGAUAAUCAAUGAUACACAAAGGCAUUAUCGAUUUAAAAUAUUUGAUAAUUAUGAAUCAAUCAAUGGUUUUGAGGUGCGGAAAAAAGUUGAAUGAUUAAUUUCUUUAAAUUAUUUAAUGAAAAUUUUAAAUUCCAUAAAAAAUAUCCUUUUUUGCUAAAUUAUUUUUAAAACGUAUAGCAAAUGGAUAACCAAUGGUACAAAAAAAAAGUACAUAAUUGACGUUGCGACAUUCUAUUCAAUCAAGGAUACAAGAACUUUCGAUUCAGCUUGAUAAUAACGAGAUGAGCUUGAAUUCAGGACUUCAUCCCCUCCAUUUGGGGAGAUAUCACUAACCUAAAAUGGAUAGCGAACUUUCAUAACUUUCGUAUGAAUGAAUGUCCCUUUGAACUUUGCGCAUAAUCCAUAGCAAAGAACAUGAGAUCCCAGGGAGGUAACUCGAUCCUUUGAACCUCCUUUUUGGGGUUAUUGCUGAGUUCAGUUUUCUUAUAUCAAUAUCAGAGAUUGAUCCUCCCUCAACAACCAAGCUUUAAAAGAAAUGACAACAAAUACCACCUGGUGACCCCAACAAACUCAAUAGCUUCAAACAAUAACAAAUUAAGCUCUCAUUACCCUAUGCUGUAUAGAUAUUUAUCAUAUCGUCAUCCACCACAAGAGAAGAGUGAGUCAUCCACCACAAAAGAAGAGUGAGUCAUCCUAGGUUUGGUAACCAUAAGUUGGAAUUGUUAUACUAAUUAAUGCUUGCUUCAAUUAGACAAACUGGCUUUACUCUUGAGAUGCCCCAUAAUGUCACCCUCCCAUCGUGUUACGGUUUGAUUUUCACUCACCCAGAUCUCCUCAGCUACUUGGUUUAUAAGCCUAAAAUUACAGCUAACAAGUACCAAGCCACCGUGUUAUGGUCCUCGCAUGGACGUGAAUCCCACAUCGUUGAGAUAAUGCUCUCAGCGGGUAGAGCUACAAAGUCCCACAUCAAAAAGAAACUUCUAGUAGGGAGUAAAAGUGGAUGCCAUGGUCUUAGAAAAAGGAGUCAUGAAUCUCACAUUGGCUAUAUAGUAAAGUAAUACUGGAAAAAUAAAGGUUCACACCACCUUUAACCUAUGAGACACAUUUUGUGGGACAAAAUCGUGAUAUCAGUGGGCCAAAGAGGACAAUACCUCACAAGGGUUGGUGUGGACUGUAACAAUUGGUAUCAGAGCGAACUUUGAGUACUUGCAAUGUGCCACUGAGGACAGUGGACCCUUGUUGAAGUGGGGGAAGAUGUCACAGUCCUCGCAUGGAUGUGAAUCCCACAUCGUUGAGAUAAUGCUUGAUAAUUUUAUUUUAUAAAAUUAUUUUAAUCCAAUUUUGUUAUUAAAUAUUAGCUAAGUCCUCAAUUUUUAAUUAUAAUUUACUUAUUUUUAGUUAUUUUUAUAAUUAGUUUAUUUUUAAGUGAGUUAUUUUAAUUUUAUGCUCAUUUUUUUAAUUUUGCUAUUAUUUAUUAGUUUUAUAUUUUUCGUAGGAACUAAAGGAAUUGCGCUUAAUUUUGAAAAGUAAAGUGUUGAAAGACUUGGAAGUUUGCUUACAUAUACUUCAAUGUUUUAGCCAUAACUUAUAGUACAAAACUCCAAAUGAUGCUAUUCUUUAACCAUUGGAAAGAUAAGAGAUAGAGCUACAAUUUUCAUGAGAUCUCUUUGCCUAGUUCUGCAUUGAAGAUGGAGAAAAUCGAGUCAGAAAAUGGUUGGAUGUACUAUGACGGAAAUAGAAAUUUUUAAAGAUUGACAAUUGAUUUUUUGAGCCUCUCAUUACACUUUUAAACCAAAUUAAAUCAUAAGUCAACUUAGGAAACUAUAAGUUAAGUUUAUUAGUAUCAAUAGGAUAUUUUUAAGAAUAUUAGGAUAGACAACUUUUUGGAAACUCAAGAAACUAGAAGUUGAGGAUGAAACUUGGAGAGCAAGUGACAAAUAUUUGUUUUGCUUUCUUCCUUGGCUUUUAUUUUUUCUUGUUACUCUCAAUGGUUGAAAUUAUUAUAAUGUUCUUUGUCUUUGCAAUCAUGAGUAGCUAAUUUCUUUUAGGAUUGCAAUUGAACUCACAUGUAAUCCAAAUUUUUAAUCUCUUUCUUACUUAUCUUUAAUGGGAAUUGAAUUGUUUAUUCCAAUUUGUUCUUAAUACUUUUAAUUGCUUGGCCACCAAUUAAAUUGAUUUAAGAACUUAAACAAACUUGGGAAAGGGAGUUUAGUGUAAACUAAAAUUAGGAUAGUAUAUGAUCAUAUUAAUUUAUUUGCGUAUAAGAUAGGGAUAUAUCUAUAGGUCAUAUGUAGAUAGAUUAGAGCCUAAACUUGAUGAAUCUGUUUUAAUUUCAAUUCAUAUAGGGAUAGAGUGUUUUGGUUAAAAUAUAUGUUUUUAUAAAAUGAGUCAGGAGACCCUUAUAAAUAAAUUAGGCCUCUAAGUUAGCAAUUCAACCCAGUGAAAUAAGUUAAGGAAAAGAGGUAAGAUUUAGAUAAAGUGUAAGAGAUAUUGUAAUCCUAGACUUGUUUAAUUUAAUAUUUACUCAACUUAUUAUUAUUUUGAUUUUUUUUAGUUUAAAUUUUGAUUAAGUAUUUUUAGUUAUUUAAUUUAAUUAUUCAAUAUUGAUUGUUUAGAUAAGAUUAAAUUGUUAUAAUUUUAAUACUUAGUAAAAUUUUAUAUCAAUUCUCGACGGAAUCGAUAGUCUGCUUACUUAUAUAUUGCUUAUUCGAUAUGUAUACUUAUGUAGUAAAAUUUUAACUCACAAUGCUCCUAGCAAGUAGAGGUACAAAAUCUCACAUCGAAGAAAAACUCCUAGCGGGGAGUAAGGUGGAUGUCAUGGUCCUAGAUAGGGGAGUCAUGAAUCCAACAUUGGUUAUAUACUAAAGUGAUACUGGGAAUAUAAGGGUUCACACCAUCUUCAACUUGUGAGGUCCCUUUUGUGGGAUAAAACCGUGAGGUCAACGGGACAAAGUAGACAAUACCUCACAAGGGUUGGUGUGGACCGUGACACACCGCCCCACUCAUUCAAUGUCUCAGCCAAUAUCCGAGUGGUUAACAGGCUCAUCCAGCAGCAGUGAGUGGGGUUGUGUAAAUGCUAACCAUGCAAAGAAGACCCGAGUCCUUUUUCUAAAUUAUUUAAUGAAAAUUUUAAAUUUCGCAAAAAAUAUCUUUGGGUGUUAAAUUAUUUGUAAAAAGUAUAACAAAGAGAUAAUCAAGAAUACCAAAAGAAUAAAAAAUUAACGUUGCGGCUUUAUAUUUAAUCGAUUUUGUAAUAAAAAAUUAAAAAAAAAAACAAAAUUAUACAUGUGAAUGCAUAAAUCUCAAAUUCACUAAAUAAUUAUUUAUUUUACAUAUUCACGAAAUUCUGUGCUUCGGUAAUACAGUUUCCAGUGGAGAAAUCGUUGAAAUUAAAUUAAUUUGGAUUGUAGAUUAGGCAGUGAUGGCAAAGGGAGGUGGAUUUUGUUUCUUCAGCUAUACAUAUGAAUGUACAAAUCACAUGGUCCCUAAAUAAUUAUUUACUUUACAUGUUUAUAAAAGCCUACAUUACAUACUAACGCUGCCCUCCAAGUCGAGAAAAAGCAUUGCUUGGGACCAAGUGAGGCAUGAAUGGCUUAAACAUGUUGGAAAAUGAGACCCUAUACCCUGCAUGAUAUAUUAAUCAAUUACUACUAAUUUUAAUAUUAUUCUCUUUGUUUGUUAGUAUGUAUUAUCUUUUAUAUAUCCGGGAAAAACAAUUGAUAUCUUAUUUUAUGACUUCAAGUGGCUUGAGAAAUGCACAUUUUAUUGCAGCAAUGAAGAAGGGAAAUAUUGAAAUUUUUUCUUUUAUAUUUUUUUAUAUAUUUUUUUUGCUCUUUUACUAGUCUUUUGGUUGGGGGAUAUAAAAUUUUACCUAAAUAUGUUGUGAAAGAAUAAAAUAGAGUUAUGUGCGCACUCAAUGAGUUCCAAACAUCUCUAUGUCCAAUUCUUAAUAGGCUUAGACAACUUACAUAAGCACACAGUAAUUGACAGACUUAUUUCAGAACAGAAGUAGAGAUAGAUUCCUCCCCAUGGUGAACAGAAGUAGUAAUACUAGCAAGCACUAGGUGCUAGAUUUUUGUGGAAAUUGAUCUUCUGAAGCCAUUGGCAGCUCCUCAUAUAUCACUGAUUCUUGAAAUCUCUGUGGGAGGAAACAUCGACCACCAAAUCGCUGUUGCAUGUAUAUGGUUGCAGCGAAAAACAGGCCCAACACAGGAAUAAUGAAGUCCCAAGCAGUUGAGUAGUAAUCUGCAACAGGAUCUGCAUAGAUGUAUGUGUCAUCAAUUCCAAGAAAAUUGUGAGCCCUGUAAAGAUCAUAUCCGUGAGGUACCAGGCGAACAAGGGUAAUUCCAAUGUAAAAGAAACGAGACAGAGCCUCUUCUCUUGAGUUCUGGAACAUGUUGAACAGGAUUUGGGGGAAAAGAAAGGCAUCAAGGAUCAAACCAGCAUAAGCUCUUAUACCACUCAAAAGGACCUGCUCGUGAUCGUAGUAUGAAGAAUGCCAUUCGGUGCCAACAAGAUUCUUCCUCCACUUAAGAACGAAGGCAAUGAGGCCCCCAGCUAUGUAUACUGGAAAACAAACAUAAAGCCCCCUCUUCUCCGCAAUCCACAAGGGCUUUUUCUUUUCAUCAGAGCAUCUGGCUGUCCAUGAGAGCAUCAGAAGACGGAUCUGCAGCAGAAAAGCCACCAUUGUGACAACCCUAAUGAUCACCUCGUUCAUUUCUAGCCACACUCCACUUCUAAUCCAGACAGAUCUUUCACUAUCUUGAAUGAACAUUGCUUCAAGAUUUAGAACCAGAGGGAGUAAGUGUCCCAGGGCUAGAAUAACAAGCAUGAGAAGUGAAAUGAAAGGACAAACGCCAGGGUUCUUUCUCACAUGAAAGAUUUGAAGUACUACAAAGACGAUUGCAAGAGUGUUGGACAUGACAGACAUGAUCAUCUCGAAAUCCAUUCUCCAAAUUGAUUCCAAUGCCAAACUGCGAUAAUAAGCUCUUCCGGAAAAGCCCAAAGGUCCAAAAUUAAGACGGUCAGUUGUUUCGCGCAUGCUCUUAAUGCUUCCCCUGAUAAUACCUCCUUUCCUGUCUGAGUUCAAUGGAGGAAACUGAACAUUCACAACGACCUCGCAGUCCACUGAAUGACUUAAAGAUCCUGUGUUGGCUGAACUCAGAUCUCUGCAGCCAACCAUGCACAGAUUACCUGUUUCAGAAUUAUAAACCCCUUCAGCAGAAAUUUUGAUUUCCACGUAUCCAUUUGAAGAUUGGUUAGAUGGAUUAAGGCCAGCAUCCAAAUUCAAACUACGUAGCGUGAUGCUUAUUUUGUAGCUGAUAUUAAGCAAGCGGCCACUGGUAUCUGACUCAUUGCCAUAAUUUAUAGGCCUUGAGCUUGAGGAUGGUGUUAGAAAGGGAAAUCUCUGGUAAGGCUGAUCGCCCACAGCUAGAGGUUUCGAAGAACCCCAUCCAAUUAUUUCUUUAGAGCCUUUGACGAUUGAGAAAUGAAAAGCCAUGUCCCCAGAAUAGCCAUCUGGGUACUGUCCCCUGCUGUUCCUUUUAGGUUUCUUCUGCGGACAUGACCUCUUCACUUUGUCAGUUUCCAUGUACUCAUACUUCAAACCUUGAAGUUGAAUUUGCCCACUGCUGCUACGGUCAGUAUUUCGGAACAGAAUCCUAUCAAAGAAACCAGAUUCAUUCCUAGGUUUCUCACUCCAUAUUUCUCCAACAACAGUACUUGUGUUUCUGAUAGACAAGAUUGCCGGGAAUCUCAAGCUCAACCUUGUUGUGCAGUCUCCAACAUGAGACUUCUCCAAGGAGCUUGAUGCAUCAAAGAUUCGGCAAGCAGCAAUAC